This is an unclassified non-coding RNA of Cavia porcellus (domestic guinea pig), 312 nucleotides long. Its record names the gene 7SK. It matches the Rfam family "7SK RNA". Rfam says of the family: 7SK was discovered as an abundant small nuclear RNA in the mid-70s but a possible function has only recently been suggested. Two independent studies have found that 7SK RNA binds the CDK9/cyclin T complex (known as elongation factor P-TEFb). P-TEFb activates transcription by phosphorylating the C-terminal domain of RNA polymerase II. The record is from Ensembl. NCBI's taxonomy places the organism in Eukaryota, Metazoa, Chordata, Mammalia, Rodentia, Caviidae.
GGAUGUGAGGUGGUUGGCAGUGACAUCUGUCACUCAUUGAUCACCAGGGUUGACUGGACUGAUCUCCAUUGCUAGGCAGGUUUCUCUCUUCACUGUCACCGCUCCAUAUGUGUCCCUCCUCCCAUAAGCUCCUAAAGGGACCAUUUUCUAGAUCAAGGGCAUAGGGGUAGUUGCACUCCCCUGCUAGACCCUCCAAACAAGCUCUCAAAGGGGCAAGCAUGCACGUUUACUAUGAGGAUAGAUUGGCAGGCACGAUGUAGCUCUUGAAGCGAUGCUGGGAUCUAAACUGUACAUCAUCAGACUGCUACCAGC